ACGCUCCAGCUCUCAAAGUGCCCUCCAUCUUUCUGGCCCUCCAAAUUCUUACUGAGAACACUGGGUUUUACUUGGGGGACAGGUCCUUUAAGGUUGGACUGCAGCACUAACCACUGUGCUUCCUCAGCCCUUGGAGUUCCACCCGGUGCCUCUGCCCGCAGGAGAGGAAGGGGAGUAUGUCCUGGCGCUGAAGCAAGAGCUGCGUGGGGCCAUGAGGCAGCUCCCCUACUUCAUCCGGCCAGCUGUCCCCAAGAGAGAUGUGGAACGUUACUCAGACAAGUAUCAGAUGUCUGGGCCGAUUGACAACGCCAUCGAUUGGAACCCUG
RNAcentral lists this long non-coding RNA (326 nucleotides) under Rattus norvegicus (Norway rat). RNAcentral's name for it is "long non-coding RNA NONRATT016685". The record is from RNAcentral. Lineage: Eukaryota; Metazoa; Chordata; Mammalia; Rodentia; Muridae.